GUUAUGAGAUUAGCUCUGCAUCCUCCAGAGAAGAGGACUGAAAGAAUAGAGCAUCCUGUAACCUUACCUCAGAGGAGGUCGAGAGAGGACGACACGAAGAUGCUGCUUCUGUUUCUGUUGCUUCUGGGGCCAAAUUCUGGGCUUGGGGCUCUCGUCCUUCAACAUCCAAGCAGGACCAUCUGUAAAAGUGGUUCAUCAGUGAAGAUUGAAUGUCACUUUGUGGACUUGCAGGCCACAACAGUGUUUUGGUAUCAUCAGUUCCCAAAAGAGAGCUUUGUGCUGAUGGCAACUUCUAACACGGAUUCCAUAGCCUCAUAUGAAAAGGGUUUUAAUGAGACCAAGUUUGCCAUCCACCACCCAAACCUGACAUAUUCAACUCUGACGGUGACCACCACCCAUCCUGAAGACAGCAGCUUCUACUUCUGUGCAGCAAGUGACACAGCGCUUGGUGGAAAUCAGAGAGCUGGGCAAGAACAGGCUGAGUAGCAGCCUGUUCUGAGG
Non-coding RNA from Cavia porcellus (domestic guinea pig), 501 nucleotides. NCBI's taxonomy places the organism in Eukaryota, Metazoa, Chordata, Mammalia, Rodentia, Caviidae. The record is from the annotation of a RefSeq genome assembly.